Molecule: ribosomal RNA, 451 nt
Filed under: uncultured bacterium
Lineage: Bacteria
Description: partial 16S ribosomal RNA
Rfam family: Bacterial small subunit ribosomal RNA
Source: RNAcentral
AGCGAACGCUGGCGGCAUGCCUAACACAUGCAAGUCGCACGGGGGGGCUUCGUCCUCCCAGUGGCGGACGGGUGAGGAACGCGUAGGGACCUGUCGAGGGGUGGGGGAUAACCGCGGGAAACUGCGGCUAAUACCGCAUGACGCCGCGGCGUGACAGCCGGGGCCACAGGCGAAAGCCGUCCGGCGAGGGGUCUGCGCCCGAAUAGCUGGUCGGCGGGGUAGCGGCCCAGCAAGGGGGCGAGCGGCAGCCGGUCGGGGAGGUUGAUCCGCAACACCAGGAGUGGGACCCGGCGCGGACUCCUGGGGGAGGCCGCAGUGCGGAAUAUUGGACGCUGGGCGCGAGCAUGAUGCAGCCGUGCCGCGUGGGUGAAGAAGGUCUUAGGAUUGUAAAGCCGUUUGGGAGGGGAAGCUAGUGACGGUACCCGCAGAAGAAGCCCCGGCUAACUUCGUG